Molecule: long non-coding RNA, 720 nt
Organism: Mya arenaria
Lineage: Eukaryota; Metazoa; Mollusca; Bivalvia; Myida; Myidae
Exons: 5
Source: RefSeq, a predicted model, not a curated record
UCUACAAUUAAACAAUGGAAUUGAUGCUUGACACAAUUGAUAACAUUCAUUACAAAGUUCAAUAAUAUAUCAUGUGAGUGCCAUGAUACACAUCAAAGUAAUUUGUAUGAAAGACAGUCUGUUUUAAGAAAGUCGAUGGAAAAACAUCUUCCAAGAAUAAAUAUAAAAACCAUCAUCAGAUGCAGGAAUAGCAAAUGGCGGACAAAAUGUGAUUCAAGUGGGCGCCGAAAAUCCUCGGUCAGUGAUCCCACUACCUGCAAUUCCAGUUAGGAAUGAGUUCCACGAACGAGAAAGAACCAUGCCAUAUUUGGUUGUAUCUGGGCAAUGCGGUUUCAUGCCGAUACCUCCCCUGGUGUAUCCUAGAAUAACAGGUACGAGCCCAAACAAUCGUAUCAGCUUGACAAGAUCGGAACAACUACCUUUGAGUUCAACGGAAAGACUUGAUUACUAUUCGUAGUCAUCAGAUACAAAGAACAGCCUUUAUCUUUAGUUUAUAAGCUUGUGACUUAUGAUACUGCAAUGACAAUAUAUAUGAAAUUCAUUUAGACUUAAUGCAUCACGUGAACAUUAGACAGUGUUACUCAAUUAUCAGUUGUUCAAUUCAAGUGUUAUUGCAUUAAUUAUAUACAUUAAACACACUUGUUUCAAUCUUAAUAAUAAGAAAACAUUUUAAUUUGCGUAAUAUUGUAUAUUCAUUUUAUAUAAAUUACGAAACUUAAA